CGGGGUGUAGCGCAGACGGCUAGCGCGCCGCGUUUGGGACGCGGAGGUCGGCGGUUCAAGUCCGCCCACCCCGA
RNAcentral lists this transfer RNA (74 nucleotides) under Candidatus Brevifilum fermentans. RNAcentral describes it as "Brevefilum fermentans tRNA". It matches the Rfam family "tRNA". From Rfam's summary of the family: Transfer RNA (tRNA) molecules are approximately 80 nucleotides in length. Their secondary structure includes four short double-helical elements and three loops (D, anti-codon, and T loops). Lineage: Bacteria; Bacillati; Chloroflexota; Anaerolineae; Anaerolineales; Anaerolineaceae. RNAcentral also lists the same sequence under 4 other names. The record is from Rfam by way of RNAcentral.